AGGUCACAUGGCUUACUUUCUUAAGGCUAAUUAAUUUCAGUAAUUAUAGCCUUAUACCAGCUGCAGGAUGCAUUGGUGACCAAGUGAAAUCAGCUGUGGACAAUUCUUUUCCAUUCUAUAGUGGUACAUCCGGGAGAAAACUACUCAUGUUUUGAAGGGUAAUUUUCAGUAGAAACAGGAAGCUAAUCCAGUCCACCAGGGAGUCCCGUAACCCCCUCUUGUGUCAAAGGGAAACUCUCAUAGGAAACGAACAGCAAGGGUGAAAUGGAAGAGUAACCACUCUUUGAUGAAAAAGUAAUUCUAAUCCAGCUAAACUCAAUAAUGAAAGUGGAGCUCUGGAUUUGUGUUUAUCCAUUUCUUCUUUAACU
Molecule: long non-coding RNA, 368 nt
Filed under: Numida meleagris (helmeted guineafowl)
Lineage: Eukaryota; Metazoa; Chordata; Aves; Galliformes; Numididae
Description: lncRNA (ENSNMEG00000007719.1)
Source: RNAcentral